UUGUGUUUGGCUUAUCUUUGAGCACAAUGCACUCUGAAGGAAGUACACCCACUCCCUGAUGUUUUCCUUGGGAGCCAGAAAUGUGUGUGCAGCGUUUUUGGGGCAGUGGAUAAAGACGCAGAAGGAGGAGGAAGGCUCUGCAGUUCAGUAGCAUUUCCAGCAGUUUGGGAACUUGCCAUGCUCUUCAGUCCUGAAGGUUAAUGUAAAGGUGGAUCUUCCAAUGAAAAUGAGGAAUUAGCCUGUAACACACUUGGGACAGAACUGAUGUUUUUGUAUGUUGGUCAGCUGUAUUAGGGUAAUGAGUUCUGUUUGAGGUCUCCCUGCAUCACCCCAUGAGAAAAAAUAACAGGAAUAAUCAAGAACACUUGUUCCAAGACCUGGUGAACUCAACCAAGCUAUUCCCACCAUGUCCAGCAGGCUUUGGAUGCAGCUUUAGGAGCACCAGACAGUUCACUCCUGCUGCUCAGCCAGUGACAGAGCCACCAUACAUCAAUAUUAUCACAGUUUCCACAAAAAUAGUGGCCAUGUGCCACAGGGUGGGUGGCCUUUUACACCAGCCAGGGAAAAAUUAAUCCAGCAGCGCAUGGAGUGACAGAGACAGGAGGUGUUUUACACUCCAGCUGCAGAGGAGAUGCUCUUGGUGCCUGGAUUGCCUUGUGUAACCCAUUCUGUGAAGCAGAUCUUCCACUUACCCCUCCACAGCUCACUUAAGCUGGGAUUAAAUACAUCUCCUGGGCAGGCACCUUGGCUGGAUGGAAGCAUUUGAAGCAUUUUCAACAACUGGGUCAUCACAUUGGCAGGCUGCUCCCACUACUGAAAUAUUCGCCCAACAGAGUUUGCAAACUUCAGGUGAAAAGUGACUUUUCUGUGCACUCCUUGCUCCUGUGCAACUAACAAAUUUUAUAUCAGAAAAACCUGAUCUGAAAUCAAAGAAGACAGACCUGAAACACCCUGGAAGUGCCAUCUGCUGUUUACUUACGUGAGACUGACACCCGUGUAGGAGGAAGCUAAGUCAAGAAAACAAGGGAAUUCCAUAUCUUGCUGCUGAAUUUUGAGCCUUGCCCAGUGCCCCAGUGGCCAAAUCCCAACUACAACCUAAUUAAAGUUAUUUAGAGGAAAAUUUGUUACAUGUGAAAGAGGCUUCGUGUGACAAGACAAGUGGUGCCUCCUGGAUGCAUUAAAGAAUACCUGGGAACAAGCUGAAA
Long non-coding RNA from Corvus hawaiiensis (hawaiian crow), 1205 nucleotides. RefSeq lists it as uncharacterized. The record is from RefSeq and is a predicted model, not a curated record. NCBI's taxonomy places the organism in Eukaryota, Metazoa, Chordata, Aves, Passeriformes, Corvidae. The transcript has 3 exons.